AGUGAAUAGAUACCAGGUAGUCCACGCCCUAAACGAUGCCAACUAGUUGUUGGGGAAGGAGACUUCCUUAGUAAACGAAAGCUAAACGCGUGAAGUUGGCCGCCUGGGGAGUACGGUCGCAAGAUUAAAUCUCAAAGGAAUUGACGGGGACCCGCACAAGCGGUGGAUGAUGUGGAUUAAAUUCGAUGCAACGCGAAAAACCUUACCUACCCUUGACAUGCCAGGAACUCUGCUGAGAGGUGGAGGUGCCCGAAAGGGAGCCUGGACACAGGUGCUGCAUGGCUGUCGUCAGCUCGUGUCGUGAGAUGUUGGGUUUAAGUCCCGCAACGAGCGCAACCCUUGCCAUU
This 347-nucleotide ribosomal RNA is filed under the name uncultured bacterium. Its description in RNAcentral is "bacterial SSU rRNA". It matches the Rfam family "Bacterial small subunit ribosomal RNA", at positions 772 to 1112 of the family's 1533-position model. The record is from RNAcentral.